UCUCCGUUGGUGAACCAGCGGAGGGAUCAUUACAGAGUUUUCACAACUCCCAACCCUUGCGAACCGUACCCAUUCUGUUCUCGUUGCUUCCGGCCGGAGGGACGGGGGGGCCCGAAACGGCCUCACCGCCCCGCCCGCCGGGGGCGGCGGGCCCUACGAACCUUUAUAUCUCAACCACUAGAAACCGUCUUAGAAAACAAACAAAAUAAUCAAAACUCUCAACAACAGAUCUCUUGUCUCUGCCAUCGAUGAAGAACGCAGCAGAUCGGAAGAGCACAC
RNAcentral lists this unclassified non-coding RNA (279 nucleotides) under plant metagenome. Its description in RNAcentral is "partial contains small subunit ribosomal RNA, internal transcribed spacer 1, and 5.8S ribosomal RNA". The record is from RNAcentral.